GAUGAACGCUGGCGGCGUGCCUAAUACAUGCAAGUCGAGCGAACAGACGAGGAGCUUGCUCCUCUGACGUUAGCGGCGGACGGGUGAGUAACACGUGGAUAACCUACCUAUAAGACUGGGAUAACUUCGGGAAACCGGAGCUAAUACCGGAUAAUAUAUUGAACCGCAUGGUUCAAUAGUGAAAGACGGUUUUGCUGUCACUUAUAGAUGGAUCCGCGCCGCAUUAGCUAGUUGGUAAGGUAACGGCUUACCAAGGCAACGAUGCGUAGCCGACCUGAGAGGGUGAUCGGCCACACUGGAGCUGAGACACGGUCCAGACUCCGACGGGAGGCAGCAGUAGGGAAUCUUCCGCAAUGGGCGAAAGCCUGACGGAGCAACGCCGCGUGAGUGAUGAAGGUCUUCGGAUCGUAAAACUCUGUUAUUAGGGAAGAACAAAUGUGUAAGUAACUAUGCACGUCUUGACGGUACCUAAGCAGAAAGCCACGGCUAACUACGU
RNAcentral lists this ribosomal RNA (496 nucleotides) under uncultured bacterium. RNAcentral's name for it is "partial 16S ribosomal RNA". It matches the Rfam family "Bacterial small subunit ribosomal RNA", at positions 28 to 506 of the family's 1533-position model. The record is from RNAcentral.